CUUCUCCACAUAAGAUGAGCAAACAGAUUGGAGACAAAAGUUUUGGGACAUAAACCAAUUUGUUCUAAGAAGAAUUUGAAGCAGUUUUUUAAAUACAUGAAUAUAGGGCUUCUCCACAUAAGAUGAGCAAACAGAUUGGAGACAAAAGUUUUGGGACAUAAACUAAUUUGUUCUAAGAAGAAUUUGAAGCAGUUUUUUAAAUAUAUGAAUAUCGGGCUUCUCCACAUAAGAUGAGCAAACAGAUUGGAGACAAAAGUUU
RNAcentral lists this long non-coding RNA (259 nucleotides) under Chinchilla lanigera (long-tailed chinchilla). RNAcentral's name for it is "lncRNA (ENSCLAG00000023350.1)". Lineage: Eukaryota; Metazoa; Chordata; Mammalia; Rodentia; Chinchillidae. The record is from RNAcentral.